RNAcentral lists this ribosomal RNA (300 nucleotides) under uncultured Maribacter sp. RNAcentral describes it as "partial 16S ribosomal RNA". It matches the Rfam family "Bacterial small subunit ribosomal RNA", at positions 496 to 795 of the family's 1533-position model. Lineage: Bacteria; Pseudomonadati; Bacteroidota; Flavobacteriia; Flavobacteriales; Flavobacteriaceae. The record is from RNAcentral.
GCUAACUCCGUGCCAGCAGCCGCGGUAAUACGGAGGAUCCAAGCGUUAUCCGGAAUUAUUGGGUUUAAAGGGCCUGUAGGCGGGUAGAUAAGUCAGCGGUGAAAACCUGCAGCUCAACUGUGGGACUGCCGUUGAAACUGUUUAUCUUGAGUUGCGGUGAAGUGGUUGGAACGUGCAGUGUAGCGGUGAAAUGCAUAGAUAUUGCACAGAACACCUAUUGCGAAGGCAGGCCACUAACCGCAUACUGACGCUCAGGGGCGAAAGCGUGGGGAGCGAACAGGAUUAGAUACCCUGGUAGUC